RNAcentral lists this non-coding RNA (96 nucleotides) under Segatella maculosa. RNAcentral describes it as "Prevotella maculosa Guanine sequence". It matches the Rfam family "Purine riboswitch aptamer". Rfam says of the family: Riboswitches are metabolite binding domains within certain messenger RNAs that serve as precision sensors for their corresponding targets. Allosteric rearrangement of mRNA structure is mediated by ligand binding, and this results in modulation of gene expression. A class of riboswitches that selectively recognises guanine and becomes saturated at concentrations as low as 5 nM. Lineage: Bacteria; Pseudomonadati; Bacteroidota; Bacteroidia; Bacteroidales; Prevotellaceae. The record is from RNAcentral. RNAcentral also lists the same sequence under 1 other name.
GCGUAAUUUUGCAACCGUUGUUAUAUAGGUCUGAAACAGGUCAGACGUUUCUACCGGCUACCGAAAUAGCCGUCUAUGACAGCUAUUAUUAAUGUA